AGCAGCCGCGGUAAUUCCAGCUCCAAUAGCGUAUAUUAAAGUUGUUGCAGUUAAAAAGCUCGUAGUUGAACUUCAGGCCUGGCUGGACGGUCCGCCCUCUGGGUGAGCACUGUCUGUGGUCGGGUCCUACCUUCUGGCGAAGCGGCAUGGCCUUAACCGGCCGUGGCGGGGAACCAGGACUUUUACUGUGAAAAAUUAGAGUGUUCAAAGCAGGCACGCGCUUGAAUACAUUAGCAUGGAAUAAUGGAAUAGGACAAUGGUUCUAUUUGUUGGUUUCUAGGACCGUUGUAAUGAUUAAUAGGGAUAGUUGGGGGCAUUAGUAUUCAAUUGUCAGAGGUGAAAUUCUUGGAUUUAUUGAAGACUAACUACUGCGAAAGCAUUUGCCAAGGAUGUUUUCAUUAAUCAAGAACGAAAGUU
RNAcentral lists this ribosomal RNA (417 nucleotides) under uncultured Paraglomus. RNAcentral describes it as "SSU rRNA". It matches the Rfam family "Eukaryotic small subunit ribosomal RNA", at positions 569 to 991 of the family's 1831-position model. The record is from RNAcentral. Lineage: Eukaryota; Fungi; Glomeromycota; Glomeromycetes; Paraglomerales; Paraglomeraceae.